Molecule: ribosomal RNA, 776 nt
Filed under: uncultured Neocallimastigales
Lineage: Eukaryota; Fungi; Neocallimastigomycota; Neocallimastigomycetes; Neocallimastigales
Description: partial large subunit ribosomal RNA
Rfam family: Eukaryotic large subunit ribosomal RNA
Source: RNAcentral
GUACACGCUGUGACUAGCAUAUCAAUAAGCGGAGGAAAAGAAACUAACAAGGAUUCCCUCAGUAACGGCGAGUGAAGCGGGAAGAGCUCAAAUUUGAAAUCUUGAAAGGUCACCUUUCACGAAUUGUAGUUUAAAGAAGUGUUUUCUGUUACGAUCGUAAUAUAAGUUCUUUGGAAUAGGACAUCACAGAGGGUGAGAAUCCCGUCUAUGAUUGCGAUUUGUAGCUUUGUGAUACACUUUCAAAGAGUCGGAUUGUUUGGGAAUGCAGUCCAAAAUGGGUGGUAAACUUCAUCUAAAGCUAAAUAUUGGCGAGAGACCGAUAGCGAACAAGUACCGUGAGGGAAAGAUGAAAAGAACUUUGAAAAGAGAGUUAAACAGUACGUGAAAUUGUCAAAAGGGAAGCGUUUGACACCUGUGUUGUUUUCUCGAAAAUCAAUUAAAAAUGGCUCGAUUUUGUAUUGCUUGAGACCUUAAAAGCUCACUGUACAUUUUUCGCGUCUUUUUUAAUACACUUUUCGUUUAACAAGUCAACAUCAGUUUCUUUUGUUGUAAAAGGGUCAUUGGAAGGUGGCUUUCUUUUCGGAGAAAGUGUUUAUAGCCUUUGGCCUCUGCAAUCGAAGAGACUGAGGUCUGCAGCGUAGACUCUUCGGGGUUAGAUACAUUUGUGCUAAGUUAUAGCUUUUUAUAGACAACUUGUUGACUAUAAUUAGUCCUUGUAGCUUACUCGCUUAUGCUAUUUUACCUACGCUUAGGAUGUUGAGUAGCGACAUACGCAC